RNAcentral lists this transfer RNA (86 nucleotides) under Dactylosporangium siamense. Its description in RNAcentral is "tRNA-Arg". Lineage: Bacteria; Bacillati; Actinomycetota; Actinomycetes; Micromonosporales; Micromonosporaceae. The record is from RNAcentral.
GUGACGUGCUGCGGGUCGGCAGCGCCGGGCUGCGGACCCGGCCGAUGCGGGUGUUCCUGUCCGCGCUCGGCAUCGCGAUCGGCAUC